AGAGUUUGAUCCUGGCUCAGGAUGAACGCUGGCGGCGUGCCUAAUACAUGCAAGUCGAACGCGAGCACUUGUGCUCGAGUGGCGAACGGGUGAGUAAUACAUAAGUAACCUGCCCUAGACAGGGGGAUAACUAUUGGAAACGAUAGCUAAGACCGCAUAGGUACGGACACUGCAUGGUGACCGUAUUAAAAGUGCCUCAAAGCACUGGUAGAGGAUGGACUUAUGGCGCAUUAGCUGGUUGGCGGGGUAACGGCCCACCAAGGCGACGAUGCGUAGCCGACCUGAGAGGGUGACCGGCCACACUGGGACUGAGACACGGCCCAGACUCCUACGGGAGGCAGCAGUAGGGAAUUUUCGGCAAUGGGGGAAACCCUGACCGAGCAACGCCGCGUGAAGGAAGAAGGUUUUCGGAUUGUAAACUUCUGUUAUAAAGGAAGAACGGCGGCUACAGGAAAUGGUAGCCGAGUGACGGUACUUUAUUAGAAAGCCACGGCUAACUACGUGCCAGCAGCCGC
Molecule: ribosomal RNA, 515 nt
Filed under: uncultured Clostridium sp.
Lineage: Bacteria; Bacillati; Bacillota; Clostridia; Eubacteriales; Clostridiaceae
Description: bacterial SSU rRNA
Rfam family: Bacterial small subunit ribosomal RNA
Source: RNAcentral